This 1091-nucleotide ribosomal RNA is filed under the name Pseudomonas putida. RNAcentral's name for it is "bacterial LSU rRNA". It matches the Rfam family "Bacterial large subunit ribosomal RNA", at positions 1704 to 2780 of the family's 2925-position model. Lineage: Bacteria; Pseudomonadati; Pseudomonadota; Gammaproteobacteria; Pseudomonadales; Pseudomonadaceae. The record is from RNAcentral.
GUGAAGGAACUAGGCAAAAUGGCACCGUAACUUCGGGAGAAGGUGCGCCGGCGAGGGUGAAGGACUUGCUCCGUAAGCCCAUGCCGGUCGAAGAUACCAGGCCGCUGCGACUGUUUAUUAAAAACACAGCACUCUGCAAACACGAAAGUGGACGUAUAGGGUGUGACGCCUGCCCGGUGCCGGAAGGUUAAUUGAUGGGGUUAGCGCAAGCGAAGCUCUUGAUCGAAGCCCCGGUAAACGGCGGCCGUAACUAUAACGGUCCUAAGGUAGCGAAAUUCCUUGUCGGGUAAGUUCCGACCUGCACGAAUGGCGUAACGAUGGCGGCGCUGUCUCCACCCGAGACUCAGUGAAAUUGAAAUCGCUGUGAAGAUGCAGUGUAUCCGCGGCUAGACGGAAAGACCCCGUGAACCUUUACUAUAGCUUUGCACUGGACUUUGAAUUUGCUUGUGUAGGAUAGGUGGGAGGCUUUGAAGUGGGGACGCCAGUUCUCAUGGAGCCAUCCUUGAAAUACCACCCUGGCAACUUUGAGGUUCUAACUCAGGUCCGUUAUCCGGAUCGAGGACAGUGUAUGGUGGGUAGUUUGACUGGGGCGGUCUCCUCCCAAAGAGUAACGGAGGAGUACGAAGGUGCGCUCAGACCGGUCGGAAAUCGGUCGUAGAGUAUAAAGGCAAAAGCGCGCUUGACUGCGAGACAAACACGUCGAGCAGGUACGAAAGUAGGUCUUAGUGAUCCGGUGGUUCUGUAUGGAAGGGCCAUCGCUCAACGGAUAAAAGGUACUCCGGGGAUAACAGGCUGAUACCGCCCAAGAGUUCAUAUCGACGGCGGUGUUUGGCACCUCGAUGUCGGCUCAUCACAUCCUGGGGCUGAAGCCGGUCCCAAGGGUAUGGCUGUUCGCCAUUUAAAGUGGUACGCGAGCUGGGUUUAGAACGUCGUGAGACAGUUCGGUCCCUAUCUGCCGUGGACGUUUGAGAUUUGAGAGGGGCUGCUCCUAGUACGAGAGGACCGGAGUGGACGAACCUCUGGUGUUCCGGUUGUCACGCCAGUGGCAUUGCCGGGUAGCUAUGUUCGGAAGAGAUAACCGCUGAAAGCAU